CACGUGCUUAAAUACGCUCGCGUGCCCUCCUGCAGCGAACACCAAUCAUAUAUCUCGAGGAAAAUUUCAAAAGAUCCUAUCUGACAUUUGUAAACAAAAACCAAUUUAUGCGUAUUCAUUAAGAAGACCUUCUUGUCUUUAGGUUUAGUGAAAAAAAAAAUUGUUUUUGAUUUUUAUAAAAAAAAAUUAUAGUAUCCGAAAAAAGUCCAAUUUGAAAAGCAACACAAUAUCGCACAGCUUUCUGUUUGGACCUUUUUACCUACUAGUAGGCCAAUCUGUUAUUCGAACAAAAACUUUGACAGAUACAGAUUGGACCUCGCAUUUUAAACUGUUGCAAAACAUGUUAAAAUUCUUUAUCAGUGAAAUGAAGUGCAGAAGAGAAAAAAUGAAGUUAUCUUCGUCUAAGCUUCAGUCGUUGCUCGAUGUCGCCGAGAGAAUUGAUUUGCGUCUUCGAAGUCCAAAGACCAGAAAUCGCAUGAAAAUUUUUUAUCGCGGUUUUAGUAUGAGAGUAUGUGAUCUCUCCAUGCAAUCAACUGAUUUGGAAGAUUGUGAAUCGUCAUUCGAGGCUCAGUAUCAACCUCGGCCAUGUCACUACCGUCCUACUAAUGGAGAUUGUCCGCACGACGGUAUAGGGACAUAUAACUGUUCACCUUCUUGCCUCCAUAAGAUUGGUUCUUGUGAUUGUUCAUAUAGUCACGAGUAUAGUAAAUUACGCAACACCUAGACGAAUUUGAUGGAAAUUUGGCAUUGGAAACUACGCACUGAUCUCGAACAUCUCGCCGUCAUCGUUGUUUUUUCUCUCACGAUAUUUCAUAUUAAUAAAUAAAUAUAACAUUCACUGUUUUGUUACCGUUUCUUUGUUUUUUUUUUUUAAUCAUUUAACUAUUUCAAAUAUUUAUA
Wyeomyia smithii (pitcher-plant mosquito) is the source of this 900-nucleotide long non-coding RNA. RefSeq lists it as uncharacterized. NCBI's taxonomy places the organism in Eukaryota, Metazoa, Arthropoda, Insecta, Diptera, Culicidae. The transcript is spliced from 4 exons. The record is from RefSeq and is a predicted model, not a curated record.